This 272-nucleotide ribosomal RNA is filed under the name uncultured bacterium. RNAcentral's name for it is "partial 16S ribosomal RNA". It matches the Rfam family "Bacterial small subunit ribosomal RNA", at positions 333 to 620 of the family's 1533-position model. The record is from RNAcentral.
UAUGUCCUACGGGGGGCAGCAGUGGGGGAUAUUGCACAAUGGGGGAAACCCUGAUGCAGCGACGCCGCGUGGGCGAAAAAGUAUUUCGGUAUGUAAAGCCCUAUCAGCAGGGAAGAAGAAAUGACGGUACCUGAGUAAGAAGCACCGGCUAAAUACGUGCCAGCAGCCGCGGUAAUACGUAUGGUGCAAGCGUUAUCCGGAUUUACUGGGUGUAAAGGGAGCGCAGGCGGCACGGCAAGCCUGAUGUGACAGACCGCGGCCCAACAGGGGGA